This 578-nucleotide ribosomal RNA is filed under the name Haloferax volcanii. RNAcentral's name for it is "bacterial SSU rRNA". It matches the Rfam family "Archaeal small subunit ribosomal RNA", at positions 35 to 608 of the family's 1478-position model. The record is from RNAcentral. Lineage: Archaea; Methanobacteriati; Methanobacteriota; Halobacteria; Halobacteriales; Haloferacaceae.
GAAAAUUCUUAAUUAGCCAUGCCUAGUUUGCACGAGCUUACACUCGUGGCGAAAAGCUCAGUAACACGUGGUCAAACUACCCUACAGAGAACGAUAACCUCGGGAAACUGAGGCUAAUAGUUCAUACGGGAGUCAUGCUUGAAUGCCGGCUCCCCGAAACGCUCCGGCGCUGUAGGAUGUGACUGCGGCCGAUUAGGUAGACGGUGGGGUAACGGCCCACCGUGCCGAUAAUCGGUACGGGUUGUGAGAGCAAGAACCCGGAGACGGAAUCUGAGACAAGAUUCCGGGCCCUACGGGGCGCAGCAGGCGCGAAACCUUUACACUGCACGCAAGUGCGAUAAGGGGACCCCAAGUGCGAGGGCAUAUAGUCCUCGCUUUUCUCGACUGUAAGGCGGUCGAGGAAUAAGAGCUGGGCAAAACCGGUGCCAGCCCCCGCGGUAAUACCGGCAGCUCAAGUGAUGACCGAUAUUAUGGGGCCUAAAGCGUCCGUAACCGGCCAUGAAGGUUCCUCGGGAAAUCGGCGUCCUCUGUGGGGGGCGUCCGGAGAAAAAAGUGCUUUGCGACUGGACCGCUCAAGG